Molecule: ribosomal RNA, 747 nt
Filed under: uncultured KB1 group bacterium
Lineage: Bacteria; Candidatus Calescibacteriota
Description: bacterial SSU rRNA
Rfam family: Bacterial small subunit ribosomal RNA
Source: RNAcentral
GUGGGGAUCUUGCGCAUGGUCGAAGGCUGACGCAGCGACGCCGCGUGGAGGACGAAGGCCUUCGGGUUGUAAACUCCUUUUCUGGGGGACGAAUAAGGUCAGUAGGUAAUGGCUGACCGAUGACGGUGCCCCAGGAACAAGCGCCGGCUAACUUCGUGCCAGCAGCCGCGGUAAGACGAAGGGCGCAAGCGUUAUCCGGAAUUACUGGGCGUAAAGGGCGUCUAGGCGGCCAAUCAAGUCAACGUUGAAAGCCCUUGGCUAAACUGAGGGAUGUACCGUCGAAACUGAUUGGCUCGAGGAACGUAGAGGAAGGCGGAACUCUCGGAGUAGCGGUGAAAUGCGUAGAGACCGAGAGGUACCCCGAUGGUGAAGACAGCCUUCUGGGCGUUUCCUGACGCUGAAGCGCUAAGGCCAGGGGAGCGAAGGGGAUUAGAUACCCCCGUAGUCCUGGCUUCAAACGAUGUGGGCUUGGUGUCGGCUCCCGACAGAGAGUCGUUGCCGGAGUUAACGCGUUAAGCCCACCGCCUGGGGAUUACGUCCGCAAGGAUGAAACUCAAGGGAAUUGACGGGGGCCCACACAACCGGUGGAGCACGUGGUUUAAUUCGAUGAUAAGCGAAGAACCUUACCAGGGCUUGACCUAGCGGUAGUAGGACCCUUGAAAAGGGGAACGACCUCAAGCUUUGCUUGAGGAGCCUGGCAGGUAUUGCAUUGGCUGUCGUCAGCUCGUGUCGUGGGACGUUUGGGUU